This is a long non-coding RNA of Callorhinus ursinus (northern fur seal), 640 nucleotides long. RefSeq lists it as uncharacterized. NCBI's taxonomy places the organism in Eukaryota, Metazoa, Chordata, Mammalia, Carnivora, Otariidae. The record is from RefSeq and is a predicted model, not a curated record.
CAUCACGUGGACUGGCAUCAUCGGCAUACUAUGGCUUCUGCUCACCGCUGAUACAACUAGCUGCUUUUUCCUCCUGGGGUGCGUCUGCUUGCCUUACAGCUGAAACCCACUUCCUGAGAUGAGCACCAGGAGGUUUGCCCACUGACCUGGGCCACUUCCGCCUCUCUUGGAUAGGCCUGGCUCCCUCUUCUGUCCUUUCCAGUCCUCAGAGCAGACCCUGCUCUGGCUCUCCCCCAGCUGCACCCUCUCCACAGAAUGAGAAGACCAAAGCGACCUGCCCCGUGCCCACCCUUCAGUCAUCCCAGAAGUCCCCUUCGCCUGCACCCCGCCUCACACACACAUUGAAGACAGGAGGGUCAGCUGCAGUGGCAAGAUGCCCGAGACUCCACCAUAGGACAGCACGGCUUUGGGCACGCGUGGCCCCUCUCUGCGCACUAACUGAGCCUGCCAAAAAUCCUGUGAGUCACCAGGAUCUCAGGGCAUCUUGCAGAGAAGGGAAAGCAGAGAUCCGGGGAGCCGUGGCUGGACCCCCGGACGCCCAGGCCCCCUUCCGCAGCAGCCCGGCUGGGCGUCGGAAGUUGCACGGUCCCUUUCCCAGAAUGACGCCAAAUUCUUUCGAGAGGCACCCCAAACCCGGAGA